RNAcentral lists this long non-coding RNA (440 nucleotides) under Setaria viridis. Its description in RNAcentral is "long non-coding RNA (SVIR_LNC008132)". The record is from RNAcentral. Lineage: Eukaryota; Viridiplantae; Streptophyta; Magnoliopsida; Poales; Poaceae.
AAGAAAAUAAGGUUUUACCCGUUGAGCUCCGAACAGAGAACGCAAACGAAAAAUAGGUAGAAUGAGUAUUUUCGGGAAAUUUGGAUAUGGAUCGGCGGAAGUAUAAUGGGGGAUGAUGUGGUCGAAUUUGGGAUUAAUUUGAGGAAGUUUGGCGCAUGAAAUGACGAGUUAAACAUGGAUUAGGGGCUUAAAAGGAGGUUUAGGACUGAUUUGCGAGAAACUAGGGACCUAUCUGUAAAUAUUUUUGGAGGUGGAGGGGUCUAUCUAUGAAACAACCUUUGAGAGAGGUGGAAGGGUUAUUUCGCGAAAUAGAGAAAAUUGGGGGUUAGAUCGGAAUUUGGGGGCUUCUUCUUCCUUUCUCCCUGUACCGAGACAGAGGAUGGAAUCGGACCCUUCAAUUCAUUGGCACUCGGCAUCUUGCGACCUAGGGAUCGGAAGAC